AUUGAACGCUGGCGGCAGGCCUAACACAUGCAAGUCGAGCGGAUCGGCGGACGGGUGAGUAAUGCCUAGGAAUCUGCCUGGUAGUGGGGGAUAACGUCCGGAAACGGGCGCUAAUACCGCAUACUAUCAGAUGAGCCUGGGUGUGGUUAGCUAGUUGGUGGGUUAAAUGGCUACCAAGGCGACGAUCCGUAACUGGUCUGCGUGGAUGAUCAGUCACACUGGAACUGAGACACGGUCCAGACUCCUACGGGAGGCAGCAGUGGGGAAUAUUGGACAAUGGGCGAAAGCCUUGUACAGCCAUGCCGCGUGUGUGAAGAAGGUCUUCGGAUUGUAAAGCACUUUAAGUUGGGAGGCGUUACCAACAGAAGAAGCACCGGCUAACUACGUGCCAGCAGCCGCGGUAAUAC
This 407-nucleotide ribosomal RNA is filed under the name uncultured bacterium. RNAcentral describes it as "partial 16S ribosomal RNA". It matches the Rfam family "Bacterial small subunit ribosomal RNA", at positions 30 to 526 of the family's 1533-position model. The record is from RNAcentral.